CCCAGACUCAUUCUGUGCCAUUGUAUCUGCUGUCCUGAGUCCCAGGAGGCUUUAGGAUGGGUCUCCCAGGAGACCCAAAGGAUGAGGCUGGGUUAGGGUAUUUCUUUUGGGGGGAGUGUUUUUAAAUUAUUUAUUUUAGAGAGGGAGUGCAUGAGAGCAGGAGGAAGGGCAGAGAGAGACGGAAUCUCAAGCAGAUUCCAAGCUGAGCAUAUAGCCAGACAGCGGGCUCCAUCUCACAAUCCUGAGAUCAAGAGUCAGAGGCUUAACAGACUGAGCCACGCAGGCAACCCUCCUUCUUCUGUUCUUCUCUAGGUGAUGCUGAGGUUCUGGCUGGAACUGCUCCUGAUCAGCAUAGCUCCAGUGGAGUUCAGCCUACUGGAGCUAUGGAGAAGGGAAGUCUUCCUGCCAGUGCUGCUCGAGAGAUCUCAGUUUUCCUUCAUUUAGCUAUCACCACGAUGUGAAGGUUCAUGAAGCAUAUGAUAUCCUGGCAUGGGGUCACACCUAACAUCAUCUUUGGACCAAGGGACCUUCUUUGUAGUAAAAGUUGACCUUGGCCAAGCAAAAGGCCCCUUGCCUGGGAAGUUAUCUCCACUAGGGUGGAUAGCGCAUUCCAAUAACUG
Molecule: long non-coding RNA, 620 nt
Organism: Neogale vison (American mink)
Lineage: Eukaryota; Metazoa; Chordata; Mammalia; Carnivora; Mustelidae
Exons: 3
Source: RefSeq, a predicted model, not a curated record